CUUCUCGGGCCGCGAGGAACAGCGGCGUCUGCUCCUGUGCCGGAAGAAACAGCCAGGGGGCGAGGUCAGGGAGGGCCACGCCCACAGGGUGGCUCUUCCGGACUCCACCCACUUGGCCACUGGCCCUUCCCCCUUCAGGAAAGAGUCCCCUCCGUGAGCCCCCUUCCUCCUCACUCUUACUUGAGGCCAAUGCUGUCUUCACCCAGGGGAGGCCGGCGUCUGCGGGGAGCUGGCUGAGUUCGAGGCCUUCGAAUGAACCCAGGGGGCAGCCAGAGGGCCCCAUGCUCUCGGCGCCGCCUCCGGAUGAGCUGAAGGACGAGAAGAGCCCCAAGGGCCAGGAGAAGCACCCCGGCCACUGAAUGAAAGCUUCACGAGAACAGACAUGUUGGGGCGCCUGGGUGACUCAGUUAAGCGUCUGCCUUCAGCUUGGGUCAUGAUCCCAGGGUCCUGGGAUCAAGCCCUGCAUUGGGCUCCCUGCUCAGUGGGGAGCCUGCUCUCUCCCUCUC
Ailuropoda melanoleuca (giant panda) is the source of this 506-nucleotide long non-coding RNA. RefSeq lists it as uncharacterized. Lineage: Eukaryota; Metazoa; Chordata; Mammalia; Carnivora; Ursidae. The record is from RefSeq and is a predicted model, not a curated record. The transcript has 3 exons.